RNAcentral lists this ribosomal RNA (305 nucleotides) under uncultured bacterium. RNAcentral's name for it is "bacterial SSU rRNA". It matches the Rfam family "Bacterial small subunit ribosomal RNA", at positions 338 to 659 of the family's 1533-position model. The record is from RNAcentral.
CCUACGGGAGGCAGCAGUGGGGAAUAUUGCACAGUGGGGGAAACCCUGAUGCAGCAACGCCGCGUGAGUGAAGAAGUAUUUCGGUAUGUAAAGCUCCAUCAAUAGGGAAGAAGAAAGACGGUACCUGACUAAGAAGCCCCGGCUAACUACGUGCCAGCAGCCGCGGUAAUACGUAGGGGGCAAGCGUUAUCCGGAUUUACUGGGUGUAAAGGGAGCGUAGACGGCAUAGCAAGUCUGAAGUGAAAGCCCGUGGCUCAACCGCGGAACUGCUUUGGAAACUGUUAAGCUGGAGUACUGGAGAGGCA